This 253-nucleotide ribosomal RNA is filed under the name uncultured bacterium. RNAcentral's name for it is "partial 16S ribosomal RNA". It matches the Rfam family "Bacterial small subunit ribosomal RNA", at positions 524 to 776 of the family's 1533-position model. The record is from RNAcentral.
UACGUAGGGUGCGAGCGUUAAUCGGAAUUACUGGGCGUAAAGUGUGCGCAGGCGGCUUCGCAAGUCGAGUGCGAAAUCCCCGAGCUUAACUUGGGAAUUGCGCUCGAAACUACGGAGCUGGAGUGUGGCAGAGGAAGGUGGAAUUCCACGUGUAGCGGUGAAAUGCGUAGAGAUGUGGAGGAACACCGAUGGCGAAGGCAGCCUUCUGGGCCAACACUGACGCUCAUGCACGAAAGCGUGGGGAGCAAACAGG